This 148-nucleotide non-coding RNA is filed under the name Nomascus leucogenys (northern white-cheeked gibbon). Lineage: Eukaryota; Metazoa; Chordata; Mammalia; Primates; Hylobatidae. The record is from Rfam by way of RNAcentral.
GCCAGGUGUGGUGGUGCACACCUGUAAUCCCAGCUACUCAGGAGGCUGAGGCAAGAGAAUUGCUUGAACCUGGGAGGCGGAGGUUGCAGUGAGCUGAGAUUGUGCCACUGCACUCCAGCCUGGGUGACAGAGCAAGACUCUGUCUCAA